RNAcentral lists this ribosomal RNA (1341 nucleotides) under uncultured bacterium. RNAcentral describes it as "partial 16S ribosomal RNA". It matches the Rfam family "Bacterial small subunit ribosomal RNA", at positions 28 to 1381 of the family's 1533-position model. The record is from RNAcentral.
GACGAACGCUGGCGGCGUGCUUAACACAUGCAAGUCGAACGGUAAGGCUCCAGCUUGCUGGGGUACACGAGUGGCGAACGGGUGAGUAACACGUGGGUGACCUGCCCUGCACUUCGGGAUAAGCCUGGGAAACUGGGUCUAAUACCGGAUAGGACUGCACCGUGAGGGUGUGGUGGAAAGUUUUUUCGGUGUGGGAUGGGCCCGCGGCCUAUCAGCUUGUUGGUGGGGUAAUGGCCUACCAAGGCGGCGACGGGUAGCCGGCCUGAGAGGGUGGACGGCCACAUUGGGACUGAGACACGGCCCAGACUCCUACGGGAGGCAGCAGUGGGGAAUAUUGCACAAUGGGCGGAAGCCUGAUGCAGCGACGCCGCGUGGGGGAUGACGGCCUUCGGGUUGUAAACUCCUUUCACCAUCGACGAAGGGUUUCUGACGGUAGAUGGAGAAGAAGCACCGGCUAACUACGUGCCAGCAGCCGCGGUAAUACGUAGGGUGCGAGCGUUGUCCGGAAUUACUGGGCGUAAAGAGCUCGUAGGUGGUUUGUCGCGUCGUCUGUGAAAUUCCGGGGCUUAACUCCGGGCGUGCAGGCGAUACGGGCAUAACUUGAGUACUGUAGGGGAGACUGGAAUUCCUGGUGUAGCAGUGAAAUGCGCAGAUAUCAGGAGGAACACCGGUGGCGAAGGCGGGUCUCUGGGCAGUAACUGACGCUGAGGAGCGAAAGCAUGGGGAGCGAACAGGAUUAGAUACCCUGGUAGUCCAUGCCGUAAACGGUGGGCGCUAGGUGUGGGUUUCCUUCCACGGGAUCCGUGCCGUAGCUAACGCAUUAAGCGCCCCGCCUGGGGAGUACGGCCGCAAGGCUAAAACUCAAAGGAAUUGACGGGGGCCCGCACAAGCGGCGGAGCAUGUGGAUUAAUUCGAUGCAACGCGAAGAACCUUACCUGGGCUUGACAUAUACAGGAUCGCGCCAGAGAUGGUGUUUCCCUUGUGGCUUGUAUACAGGUGGUGCAUGGUUGUCGUCAGCUCGUGUCGUGAGAUGUUGGGUUAAGUCCCGCAACGAGCGCAACCCUUGUCUUAUGUUGCCAGCACGUUGUGGUGGGGACUCGUAAGAAACUGCCGGGGUUAACUCGGAGGAAGGUGGGGAUGACGUCAAAUCAUCAUGCCCCUUAUGUCCAGGGCUUCACACAUGCUACAAUGGUCGGUACAGUGGGUUGCCAGUCCGUGAGGGCGAGCUAAUCCCGCAAAGCCGGUCUCAGUUCGGAUCGGGGUCUGCAACUCGACCCCGUGAAGUCGGAGUCGCUAGUAAUCGCAGAUCAGCAACGCUGCGGUGAAUACGUUCCCGGGCCU